GACGAACGCUGGCGGCGUGCUUAACACAUGCAAGUGGAGCGACGAACCAUCUUCGGAUGGGGCAAAGCCGCGAACGGGUGAGUAACACGUGGGUAACCUGCCUUGAUGAUUGGGACAACCCCGGGAAACCGGGGCUAAUACCAAAUGUGCUCCUUCCCUUCGAGGGGAAGGUGGAAAGGAAGCUUCGGCCUCCGCAUCGAGAUGGGCCCGCGGCGCAUUAGCUUGUUGGUGGGGUAACGGCCUACCAAGGCGACGAUGCGUAGCUGGUCUGAGAGGACGAUCAGCCACACUGGGACUGAGACACGGCCCAGACUCCUACGGGAGGCAGCAGUGGGGAAUCUUGCACAAUGCACGAAAGUGUGAUGCAGCAACGCCGCGUGCGGGAAGACGGCCUUCGGGUUGUAAACCGCUUUCAGUUGGGACGAAGGUUCACGAGUUAAUAGCUCGUUGGACUGACGGUACCUUCACAAGAAGCCCCGGCUAACUACGUGCCAGCCGCCGCAGUAAAAC
RNAcentral lists this ribosomal RNA (510 nucleotides) under uncultured bacterium. Its description in RNAcentral is "bacterial SSU rRNA". It matches the Rfam family "Bacterial small subunit ribosomal RNA", at positions 28 to 526 of the family's 1533-position model. The record is from RNAcentral.